This 500-nucleotide ribosomal RNA is filed under the name uncultured bacterium. RNAcentral describes it as "partial 16S ribosomal RNA". It matches the Rfam family "Bacterial small subunit ribosomal RNA", at positions 30 to 523 of the family's 1533-position model. The record is from RNAcentral.
AUUGAACGCUGGCGGCAGGCCUAACACAUGCAAGUCGAGCGGAUGAGAGGAGCUUGCUCCUCGAUUCAGCGGCGGACGGGUGAGUAAUGCCUAGGAAUCUGCCUAGUAGUGGGGGACAACGUUUCGAAAGGAACGCUAAUACCACAUACGUCCUACGGGAGAAAGUGGGGGAUCUUCGGACCUCACGCUAUUAGAUGAGCCUAGGUCGGAUUAGCUAGUUGGUAGGGUAAAGGCCUACCAAGGCGACGAUCCGUAACUGGUCUGAGAGGAUGAUCAGUCACACUGGAACUGAGACACGGUCCAGACUCCUACGGGAGGCAGCAGUGGGGAAUAUUGGACAAUGGGCGAAAGCCUGAUCCAGCCAUGCCGCGUGUGUGAAGAAGGCCUUCGGGUCGUAAAGCACUUUAAGUUGGGAGGAAGGGCUCAUAGCGAAUACCUGUGAGUUUUGACGUUACCAACAGAAUAGGCACCGGCUAACUUCGUGCCAGCCGCCGCCGUAA